This 120-nucleotide ribosomal RNA is filed under the name Meriones unguiculatus (Mongolian gerbil). Lineage: Eukaryota; Metazoa; Chordata; Mammalia; Rodentia; Muridae. The record is from RNAcentral.
GUCUAUGACCAAACCACUCAAAUGCACCCAAUCUGAUCUUGGAAGCUAAGAGGAUCAAGCCUUGUUAAGAUUAGUUCUUAGGUAGGAAAUUGCCUGAGAAUAUAUUUUACUGCUUAGAUG